This 465-nucleotide ribosomal RNA is filed under the name Vreelandella stevensii. RNAcentral's name for it is "partial 16S ribosomal RNA". It matches the Rfam family "Bacterial small subunit ribosomal RNA", at positions 338 to 795 of the family's 1533-position model. Lineage: Bacteria; Pseudomonadati; Pseudomonadota; Gammaproteobacteria; Oceanospirillales; Halomonadaceae. The record is from RNAcentral.
CCUACGGGAGGCAGCAGUGGGGAAUAUUGGACAAUGGGGGGAACCCUGAUCCAGCCAUGCCGCGUGUGUGAAGAAGGCCCUCGGGUUGUAAAGCACUUUCAGUGAGGAAGAACGCCUGGUGGUUAAUACCCAUCAGGAAAGACAUCACUCACAGAAGAAGCACCGGCUAACUCCGUGCCAGCAGCCGCGGUAAUACGGAGGGUGCGAGCGUUAAUCGGAAUUACUGGGCGUAAAGCGCGCGUAGGUGGCUUGAUAAGCCGGUUGUGAAAGCCCCGGGCUCAACCUGGGAACGGCAUCCGGAACUGUCAAGCUAGAGUGCAGGAGAGGAAGGUAGAAUUCCCGGUGUAGCGGUGAAAUGCGUAGAGAUCGGGAGGAAUACCAGUGGUGAAGGCGGCCUUCUGGACUGACACUGACACUGAGGUGCGAAAGCGUGGGUAGCAAACAGGAUUAGAUACCCUUGUAGUC